GGGGGCGGGGUGUGCGCGGCCCAAAAGGAGGCUUGGUGGCUGUGCUGCGUCCUUGUUGCUGUCUCUGGCUGUGGGGCUUCCUGGUGAUCUGAUGCCAUCGUGGGCCGCGGGUGAUGCCUGCUCCUCCCGGAGGCCGGGCGGAAGGCAUCACCAUGUGGGCGAUCCCUAGAAGUGGGAAGGAACCCUGCACUCCACAGCUGUUCUGCAAGUAGCCUUGGCUCUGAUGUCUCCCCACUGUGGCACACAGCACACUGGUGUCCACCAUUCCCCUGGAGUCUGAGCAUCAAAUUUCCAUAAUGCCAGAACUGGAAGAUACUUGAAAGAUUGUCCCUUCAGUGGCCGUCGUGCUGAUCUGUGGAAUCCAUUCCUCAGAAGGGUCUAGCCUGGCAAGCAGGCCUCUGAGGUGUGCAUUUCCUCCUUAGUGGAAAUGAGGAAGCGGGUACUAAGAAGCUGCAUCCUGUCCACAUUUACACACCAGGUUUGGCCACCGUGUUGACUCCUUUGGGAGUGAAGAGCCGUGCUGUGCGUCGGAACCCAGGCCCCUCUGACUUCUGAAUGAGUAGCGAUAUUUAAUAAAUGCGGUUUUAAAGUA
This is a long non-coding RNA of Choloepus didactylus (southern two-toed sloth), 592 nucleotides long. RefSeq lists it as uncharacterized. The record is from RefSeq and is a predicted model, not a curated record. The transcript has 5 exons. NCBI's taxonomy places the organism in Eukaryota, Metazoa, Chordata, Mammalia, Pilosa, Megalonychidae.